AGAGUCUGGACAAAAUAAUGCAUCUCUAAAGCCAUAGUCUUAAUAAGCAUAGGCUUAUACUUAUCUCUUACUGAGUUUGAUGCUUAAUAAAUAGCUAAUUCCCAAGCUUUCUUUACCUUUUUGGACAUUGAUCCCUAUGUCUCUACUUUUUGACAGGACCAAGGAACUUAUGAACAGACAACACAAAGGUGGGGUGUUGGGGUUCUACGAUCUCCAGAACAUCAGCAGAGAUUUCCCUUACCAUUUGCAUGGUAUACGGUGAUAGCCCAUAUGAAAGCAACACUUCUUGGGUCAGUAGUGGAGUUGAUAUUGACAAGUAGGUUUUGGAGCAACAAUUGCCUGGUGCCUUUGAAGAAAGGACACCAACAAUGGCUAAGCCAGUCGAAAUAAAUAUUGAUCGAAUAGAAGGAUCAGAGCUGUUUGGAAAGUUACCUUAAUGUGGUAUUCAACAGAGCCAAAUUCAUACAACUGAUGAUCGACCUCUAUAGGCUUUUCUGCACUGUCAUGAAAGGAAUAACAUUGAUUGUUAGAGUGGUUUUGGUCAGCAAGAAUUCAAAUUUGAUAACUACCUCUAGAAUGCAUCUUGUUGUCCAUCGAAGUCAGUUGAGAGUUGUUUAGUGAGGAAAACUACCAAGUGUUUGUAAUUGAGACUUGACCUAAGGAUUAUAAUCUCUUCGCAGAGGGUUAAGACAAAGGGUUUACCUAUCGGCUGUGCAUGUGUUUUUUUCUCCUUUGUCUAAUAAGAAAAGGUAAAUGGCCUCUAAGUGA
Long non-coding RNA from Theobroma umbraticum, 768 nucleotides. RefSeq lists it as uncharacterized. NCBI's taxonomy places the organism in Eukaryota, Viridiplantae, Streptophyta, Magnoliopsida, Malvales, Malvaceae. The record is from RefSeq and is a predicted model, not a curated record.